RNAcentral lists this ribosomal RNA (464 nucleotides) under uncultured bacterium. Its description in RNAcentral is "partial 16S ribosomal RNA". It matches the Rfam family "Bacterial small subunit ribosomal RNA", at positions 28 to 507 of the family's 1533-position model. The record is from RNAcentral.
GACGAACGCUGGCGGCGUGCUUAACACAUGCAAGUCGAACGGAAAGGCCCUGCUUGCAUGGUACUCGAGUGGCGAACGGGGGAGUAACACGCGGGUGAACCGUCCUGCACUUCGGGAUAAGCCUGGGGAACAGGGGCUAAUAUAGGGUAGAAGCCAUCCUGAGGGAGAGGGGUGGAAAGUUUUUUCGGUGUGGGAUGGGCUCGCGGCCUAUCAGCUUGUUGGUGGGGUAGUGGCCUACCAAGGCGGCGACGGGUAGCCGGCCUGAGAGGGUGGCCGGCCACAUUGGGACUGAGAUACGGCCCAGACUCCUACGGGAGGCAGCAGUGGGGAAUAUUGCACAAUGGGCGCAAGCCUGAUGCAGCGACGCCGCGUGGGGGAUGACGGCCUUCGGGUUGUAACCCCCUUUCGCUAGGGACGAAGCUUUUGUGACGGUACCUAGAGAAGAAGCACCGGCUAACUACGUG